Molecule: ribosomal RNA, 429 nt
Filed under: Bacteroidota bacterium
Lineage: Bacteria; Pseudomonadati; Bacteroidota
Description: Bacteroidetes bacterium partial 16S ribosomal RNA
Rfam family: Bacterial small subunit ribosomal RNA
Source: RNAcentral
UAGGGAAUCUUCCGCAAUGGACGCAAGUCUGACGGAGCAACGCCGCGUGAGUGAAGAAGGAUUUCGGUUCGUAAAACUCUGUUGUUAGAGAAGAACAGCGCAUAGAGUAACUGUUAUGCGUGUGACGGUAUAUAACCAGAAAGCCACGGCUAACUACGUGCCAGCAGCCGCGGUAAUACGUAGGUGGCAAGCGUUGUCCGGAUUUAUUGGGCGUAAAGCGAGCGCAGGCGGUCAAUUAAGUCUGAUGUGAAAGCCCCCGGCUCAACCGGGGAGGGUCAUUGGAAACUGGUUGACUUGAGUGCAGAAGAGGAGAGUGGAAUUCCAUGUGUAGCGGUGAAAUGCGUAGAUAUAUGGAGGAACACCAGUGGCGAAGGCGACUCUCUGGUCUGUAACUGACGCUGAGGCUCGAAAGCGUGGGUAGCAAACAGG